GUUUGAAAAAGGCAAAGCGCGACGAAAGCGCGUGACGCAAAGCCUCCGGUCUUCAUCCUUUGAUAUGAUAGCGGGGCUACCGAA
Molecule: regulatory RNA element, 84 nt
Rfam family: c-di-GMP-I riboswitch aptamer
About the family: GEMM was predicted in a large-scale screen for bacterial structured RNA regulatory elements. Genes associated with GEMM are involved in a diverse array of functions, including chemotaxis regulation, signal transduction, secretion and chitin.
Source: Rfam